UGAGUUGUCAUUUUUAACCGCGUGGAAAACGCCGCCGGCGGCUCCCGAAAUGUCUCUGGUUUGCGACGGCCACGGUGGCUUAAAUCGGUUAAACCGAGAAUCCACGGGGAGCUUUUAACAAGUUCUACAGAAAAGUUGUUGUUUAUGAAGAGGAAAAUGCAAGAAAGUGACUGAAAACGCCGUCAAAAUGGUUUGCGGCUUUCACCUACGGUUGCGGAGAGCGGAGUCGGAUAAUGCUACAGGACUCAAACUCCAACCAGUAAAUCACAGACAGAAGAGCCAGACCUGAGGACAUUUACAGAAGGACUCAAACUUCAACCAGGAAACACUACAGCUGAUGAAGAAGAGACAGACAGGAGGAUUUACAGGAGGUCCAGAAUUUCACCUGCUGCUCUCACCGCCGCCGCCUCCUCCUCCUGCAGAGACAGAACACAUGUUAAUCACUGAACCUGAUC
Long non-coding RNA from Lates calcarifer (barramundi perch), 455 nucleotides. RefSeq lists it as uncharacterized. Lineage: Eukaryota; Metazoa; Chordata; Actinopteri; Centropomidae. The record is from RefSeq and is a predicted model, not a curated record. The transcript is spliced from 4 exons.